This 492-nucleotide ribosomal RNA is filed under the name uncultured bacterium. RNAcentral describes it as "partial 16S ribosomal RNA". It matches the Rfam family "Bacterial small subunit ribosomal RNA", at positions 29 to 507 of the family's 1533-position model. The record is from RNAcentral.
AGUGAACGCUGGCGGUAGGCCUAACACAUGCCAGUCGAACGGCAGCACAGUAAGAGCUUGCUCUUACGGGUGGCGAGUGGCGGACGGGUGAGGAAUACAUCGGAAUCUACUUUUUCGUGGGGGAUAACGUAGGGAAACUUACGCUAAUACCGCAUACGACCUACGGGUGAAAGCAGGGGAUCUUCGGACCUUGCGCGAUUGAAUGAGCCGAUGUCGGAUUAGCUAGUUGGCGGGGUAAAGGCCCACCAAGGCGACGAUCCGUAGCUGGUCUGAGAGGAUGAUCAGCCACACCGGAACUGAGACACGGUCCAGACUCCUACGGGAGGCAGCAGUGGGGAAUAUUGGACAAUGGGCGCAAGCCUGAUCCAGCCAUACCGCGUGGGUGAAGAAGGCCUUCGGGUUGUAAAGCCCUUUUGUCGGGAAAGAAAAGCAGCAGGUUAAUACCCCGCUGUUCUGACGGUACCCAAAGAAUAAGCACCGGCUAACUUCGUG